UACGUAGGGUGCAAGCGUUAAUCGGAAUUACUGGGCGUAAAGCGUGCGCAGGCGGUUGUGCAAGACAGAUGUGAAAUCCCCGGGCUUAACCUGGGAAUUGCAUUUGUGACUGUACGGCUAGAGUGUGUCAGAGGGGGGUAGAAUUCCACGUGUAGCAGUGAAAUGCGUAGAGAUGUGGAGGAACACCGAUGGCGAAGGCAGCUCACUGGGACGGUACUGACGCUGAGACGCGAAAGCGUGGGGAGCAAACAGG
Molecule: ribosomal RNA, 253 nt
Filed under: uncultured bacterium
Lineage: Bacteria
Description: partial 16S ribosomal RNA
Rfam family: Bacterial small subunit ribosomal RNA
Source: RNAcentral